This 304-nucleotide small RNA is filed under the name Histoplasma capsulatum. RNAcentral describes it as "hypothetical RNA". The record is from RNAcentral. RNAcentral also lists the same sequence under 1 other name. Lineage: Eukaryota; Fungi; Ascomycota; Eurotiomycetes; Onygenales; Ajellomycetaceae.
AUCAUUCUCCUACCAGAACCUGUUGAAACCAAACCUCGUACCCCCACAACCCGCUUUUUCUGGCCAUCCGCCAAUAGAGACAUUACAAAAUGCUCAUCAACACGCUGCAAAUAGCCAAGACGAGGCGCAGACGAGGGAGGUGAAUCGCUCUCAACACCAAUUUCAGUUGUCCUCGCAAAUCCGUGUUUCUGGACGUUUCAAAUCGUUUGCGCAGCACAAUAAUGAGCAGUAAUGCGCAGAUACACGAAGAAACUUGGAAGUUGAUGACCAAGUUAGCCGUCAUUGGCGGCGACGAUCAACACAU